Non-coding RNA from Schistosoma margrebowiei, 45 nucleotides. NCBI's taxonomy places the organism in Eukaryota, Metazoa, Platyhelminthes, Trematoda, Strigeidida, Schistosomatidae. The record is from Rfam.
AUCCAGCUGACGGAUUUCAAAUAGAACGAAACGCAUUUCCUGGAU